RNAcentral lists this long non-coding RNA (2094 nucleotides) under Sus scrofa (pig). Its description in RNAcentral is "lncRNA (ENSSSCG00055017275.1)". The record is from RNAcentral. Lineage: Eukaryota; Metazoa; Chordata; Mammalia; Artiodactyla; Suidae.
GCAGCCUCUUCUUCAGGUUAGUUCCACCAUUUUUUUUUUUUUUUUUUUUUAGGGCUGAACUUCCUGGGAACCUCCAGAUGCUGCAGAUGUGGCCCUAAAAAGACAAAAAAAAAAAAAAAAAAAAAAAAACCUAAGAGAAUGAAGCUUCCCAAUAUAGGGAAUAAAUGCAGAAUUGUCCUUAAGAAGCAGAGUCUCAUAAAAAUCCACUAUCCACAAAGCAGAAAAUAGAUUUUCUUUUAGGAUAGUGUCCUCGUUUUCUUUGCCACUUUAGUUUAAUUUGGGUUUUGAGCACGAGUUUAUUUUCACAGAGGUAUUUAUAGAGAGAGGAAGAAAAGAGAGAGACCUUUAAAUCUGAAUUUUUCCAAUGCCUUCAAGAUCAAGGGGCUUUUCUAAGGGACGUAAAUGUAUUUCCUUCAUUGAGACCGCUUCUUGAAUAUGAUAGCCUGGUUAAGUGCCAGCCUCUGGAAAGAGUAGGCUAGGAUAUUACUGAUACUGUCAUCAACAUUCAAAAAAUCACUCCAUCACUUAGGGCUCAACUUUCCAGUCUGUGAAAUGUGAGCCAUAAUAAGACUGGAUAAAACAUACUUCUGAAGUGUUUGACAUGGUGCCUGGCCAACAUCUGCUCUAUAAACUUUAGCUAUUAACACAGCUAUCAUCAUUGUUUUCAACAACAAAUAGCCAACACCAGAAUAGUGGUGGAAGUAGGGGAAGGAGGCACAGAAAGACAGAGAAGGAGCAGAGUCCUGUUGCAUAAGUAGUCUCUGAAAGCAUUUUGAUUUAUAGAAAAUCUAUGCUCAGCUACAGUUUAAAGUUUAACCACUUCUAUUGACUAUGGAUCUUUGGAUUGACCUUUAUUUAUUGCAUUACAAAGCAGCACAUUGCAAUGUUUAGAAGUAAGGUCUCUAGAGUCACAAAACCUGGAUACAAAUGUUGUCUCUACCCUUGCAAGCUCUGCAAGCUCAAGCAAAUUACCUCUCUGAGCUUCUGUUACUACUGUAUCCUUAAAAUAGAGGUAGAAAUAGUGCCUACCUCAUAGGUUAGGUAUGAGGAAUGAACAGACACUAUAUGUAAAGUUCUCAGAACAUAGCCUAAUACAAGGUAAGCAUUCAAGAAAUGUUAACUCAAUAUAAUUAUGUUAUAGAAUAUCAUAGAUUUUGAUGUUCUUCCCCAAGAAUCAGUAUUUCUUAUUUCUUAUCCUGUAAAGACUGUUUAAGAUUUUGCGGGAGUUCCCAUUGUGGCUCAGCGGAAAUGAAUCCGACGAGUAUCCAUGAGAAUGCGGGUUCAAUCCCUGGCCUUGCUCAGUGGGUUGGAGAUCCGAUGUUGCCAUGAGCUGUGGUGUAGGUCACAGACAGGGUUCGGAACCCGUGUUGCUGUGGCUGUGGCGUAGGCUGGCAGCUGUGGCUGCAGUUCGACCCCUAGCCUAGGAAGUCCCAUAUGCCCUGGGUGCGGCCCUAAAAAGCAAAUAAAUAAAUAAAUAAAAUUAAAAAGAUUUUGCUCAAUAGCUGAUCUAUUAAAUUUCCAUUGAAAAGUUUAGGUUAAAACAAGCAGGGUUGCCAAAUCUCAAAAUUUUAGGAUUGAUUUAAGCCAUGUCAUGUUUGUUCAAGAUUCAAUCAUAGAAAUAAAGAAACCACUCUGGCAUUUCAAGCAGGAAGAAAUUUAAUACCGUGAACUAGUGAUUUGAAAAUACACAGGGAUGGUUGAAGAGGCAGUGACUGUGGAAAGCAUUCAUUAUUACUCACUAUCACCCAGUUUUUUCACCAGCCAUGAGAGAAGUAGGGAGUUCCAGGAAUCGCAUGAAACAUCCAUCAGUUAUCUCAGGUCACCACUACACCGGAUGAGCAGCUACUGGGGAAACCAAAGAAGCUGCAAAGCAUCUUAACUGUUGAAGCCCAUGAGGUCUCCUUAGUGAACAAUGGUUCUGCUUCUCUGGACAUUUCUAACUUUGUGGCUUCUGUUUGGUUGACUCUAAACCGGAAGCUUGGUGGCGAGAGAUUGUGGGAAAUGUAUUCCCUAGAUUUCCAAUCACUGUGUUAAGCAGUCAGCAAGGAAAAGAAAUGAGGGUGCAGGCUCGUUGGUUUAAAAAAAAAAAAAAAA